This 76-nucleotide transfer RNA is filed under the name Bacillus sp. UFRGS-B20. RNAcentral's name for it is "tRNA-Gly". It matches the Rfam family "tRNA". From Rfam's summary of the family: Transfer RNA (tRNA) molecules are approximately 80 nucleotides in length. Lineage: Bacteria; Bacillati; Bacillota; Bacilli; Caryophanales; Bacillaceae. The record is from RNAcentral.
GCGGGUGUAGUUUAGUGGUAAAACAAGAAGCCUUCCACAGCUCUGGUGGAGAGUUCGGAUUCUUUCACCCGCUCCA